GUAGGUGGCAAGCGUUGUCCGGAAUUAUUGGGCGUAAAGCGCGCGCAGGCGGUUCUUUAAGUCUGAUGUGAAAGCCCACGGCUCAACCGUGGAGGGUCAUUGGAAACUGGAGAACUUGAGUACAGAAGAGGAAAGCGGAAUUCCACGUGUAGCGGUGAAAUGCGUAGAGAUGUGGAGGAACACCAGUGGCGAAGGCGGCUUUCUGGUCUGUAACUGACGCUGAGGCGCGAAAGCGUGGGGGAGCAAACAGGAUUAGAUACCCUGGUAGUCCACGCCGUAAACGAUGAGUGCUAAGUGUUAGGGGGUUUCCGCCCCUUAGUGCUGCAGCUAACGCAUUAAGCACUCCGCCUGGGAGUACGGCCACAAGGCUG
This 371-nucleotide ribosomal RNA is filed under the name uncultured organism. RNAcentral's name for it is "partial 16S ribosomal RNA". It matches the Rfam family "Bacterial small subunit ribosomal RNA", at positions 527 to 896 of the family's 1533-position model. The record is from RNAcentral.